UACGUAGGGGGCAAGCGUUAUCCGGAUUUACUGGGUGUAAAGGGAGCGUAGACGGUUAUGCAAGUCAGAAGUGAAAGCCCAAAGCUCAACUUCGGGACUGCUUUUGAAACUGUGUAACUAGAGUGCAGGAGGGGUAAGCGGAAUUCCUAGUGUAGCGGUGAAAUGCGUAGAUAUUAGGAGGAACACCAGUGGCGAAGGCGGUCUGCUGGACAGCAACUGACGCUGAGGCGCGAAAGCGUGGGGAGCAAACAGG
RNAcentral lists this ribosomal RNA (253 nucleotides) under uncultured bacterium. Its description in RNAcentral is "partial 16S ribosomal RNA". It matches the Rfam family "Bacterial small subunit ribosomal RNA", at positions 524 to 776 of the family's 1533-position model. The record is from RNAcentral.